Molecule: long non-coding RNA, 2356 nt
Filed under: Ananas comosus (pineapple)
Lineage: Eukaryota; Viridiplantae; Streptophyta; Magnoliopsida; Poales; Bromeliaceae
Description: long non-coding RNA (ACOM_LNC023879)
Source: RNAcentral
AAUAAAAGGUUUUCUACCCCUCGUUGUAGCGUUUUUAAAAGAAUAAAGGUUUCUGUGUAGGAAACGGUUUUCAAAAGAUUUUUGUGGAUUUCCGUUUAAACCUUGAAUGUAAAAACUGUAAUGUGAAUGGUGAAUGUAUGAAUGUAUAGUUAUCUUUAUAUUCAUUUGGUUGUGGUUGUAUCCUGGUUGUACUGUGUAUUUGAUCGACGCCGUGCAAAUACAGGGGAGACUCUGUCCGUGUGAACAGUGGAUUCCCUGUAUUUGUGGCGGAUCUGGCAUACUCUGGGGUCAGGUUUUCAAAAAAAAAAAAAUUUUCAGACGCUUUUCCGCUUUGUUUUAAAUUGAAAAGGGACCCCGGGGCGUGACAAAGUAAAAAAAGAACGAAAUAAAAAAAAAAAAAGGAGAGAAAAAAAGAAGAGUAUUUUGGUCAAUUUUUUAAAAAUUUGGUCCGAAUCUGCAAACAAAAUACGGUCUACUUUUGCAAAAGCUGAAACUAAUGAAUUUUUUAUGCAAAUUGGCCAGGGAUAAAAGAAGUAUUUUGAUUUCUUUUAACUGGGCUAGAAAUUUAAUCUCGGUUUUAUCUGAGAUGUUAACGGAUACAAACAACGAAAGUAUUUUUGAAUAAUUGAGAAAUACGAUGAGUAUAUUUGAAACAAAAAAAAAAAAAAAAUUUAACAUUUUAGAAGUUUUGAAAGGUAUAUAAGUAACGAUAAAAAAUUAGUCGAAUCUAAUUAAAAAAAAGUAAGAGUCACUGCAUAGGACACCACACACUAAUAAAAGAGAGAUAAACAACAAUACACAAAGCGUAACCUAACAACAACAUCACUGAUUCUGCACCACAUAUAUAUAUAGAGUCCGGCUACUAUACUCUUAUGAGUAUAGAGCCUCUUGUACUCAUAAGUUUUUAGUCGUUAGAUAUACCCUUUAAUCAUUUUCACCCGUUAGAUUAUACUAUUCAACCAACCACCCACUCAACCCUAGGGGGCACACUAUCAACCUAACCAUAACCACUCUCAUCCUAACCGCACAUUUUUUCAUCCGAAACACACGUUGAGAGAGACAAACAACAACAACUCUAUUAAUAUUCUAAGGCUGCGUUUGGUUCGGAUAUAAGUAAGAACUGCUAGUUCCAGAGAUAGGUACAAGUUCAGAUAUAAGCAGGAAGUAGACCAAUUUUGCGUUUGGAUGAAAAUUGAGUUGUUCUUAGGAAUAAGGUAAAUAGUAUUUGGAUGGUUAGCAGUUCCAGAGAUAGGUACAAGUUCAGGUAUAAGCAGGAACUAGACCAAUUUCGCGUUUGGAUGAAAAUUGAGUUGUUCCUAGGAAUAAGGUAAAUAGUAUUUGGAUGGUUAGAUUGGAACAAGAGGAAUAAGAAUUAUAAUUUGGAAUUAAAAUUAUAUUAUGUAAUUAAUUAACAUCAAAAUAUUACUUAAAAAUAAAUAAUAAAAUAAUUAUUAAUAAUUAAUUAUAAAUAAUAAAUUAAUAAUAAUAAUUAUCUAAUUAUUAAUAAUUAAUUAUAAAUAAUAAAUUAAUAAUAAUAUCAAUUAUCUAAUUAAUAAUUAUUGAUAAUUAAUUAUAAAUAAUAAAUUAAUUAUAAUAAUUAUCUAAUUAUUAUUAGUUAAUUAUAAAUAAUAAAUUAAUAAAUUAUUUAAUUAUUAAAGUAAUAAAUAAUAAUUUAAAUAUAUUAAUUAGAUUAAUUAAUAAUUUACUGCCAUUAAAAUUAAAUUUAGAUUUUAAUUAACCUUGUUCUUAUCACGGAACAAGCUUGUUCCAGGAAAAGGGUGGAACAGCAGUUCCGGCCUUAUACCAACUUGUUCUUGAAAUUCUGGAACUACUGCUCCUGGGUACCAAACAUCACAUUUGGGAACGAAGGGGGGAAUAAGGGCUUAUUCCCUCCCUUGUUCCCGAACCAAACGCUACCUAAGAAUAAGGAGUCAAUUAAGAGCCAAAUGGACGCUCAAAACUCCGGCUUAAAAGUCAUAGCGAUGCAGGACUAAGUCGCAUUGAGAGGGAAGAAGUAGAUGAUAUGCAAAAAAUUAAUUUUUUGAUAAAAAUAAAAUAUAUAUUAUUAUUCAAAUCUCAAAAAUCUGAUUGUAUUAACCGAAUGCCACGUCUACCCAAAUCCUUCUAAUAUAUCUCUAAACCUAAUCAGAUUAGAAAUAAUUAAAUAAUCGGACUAAAAAUAGAAAAAAUUUAGAACUUUUCGAAAAUGACCUAAAAUUAUAAAAACAAAAACUGAGGUUGUAGUGCUUCUGAGCCUUGGAUAGAAUUGGUUUCAGUGUUUGUGACUGGUCGACAUAUCUGGUGAAUGUCGGACUGGGUCGGAGUCGUUUCUACGCGAAAUGGAUGCAGAAAUGGA